This 395-nucleotide ribosomal RNA is filed under the name uncultured bacterium. Its description in RNAcentral is "bacterial SSU rRNA". It matches the Rfam family "Bacterial small subunit ribosomal RNA", at positions 39 to 450 of the family's 1533-position model. The record is from RNAcentral.
GGCCGCGGGAAUUCGAUUCAGGCCUAACACAUGCAAGUCGAACGCCCCGCAAGGGGAGUGGCAGACGGGUGAGUAACGCGUGGGAAUCUACCCAGUUCUACGGAACAACAGUUGGAAACGACUGCUAAUACCGUAUACGCCCUAAGGGGGAAAGAUUUAUCGGAAUUGGAUGAGCCCGCGUUGGAUUAGCUAGUUGGUGAGGUAAUGGCUCACCAAGGCGACGAUCCAUAGCUGGUCUGAGAGGAUGAUCAGCCACACUGGGACUGAGACACGGCCCAGACUCCUACGGGAGGCAGCAGUGGGGAAUAUUGGAAAGUGGGCGCAAGCCUGAUCCAGCCAUGCCGCGUGAUUAAAGGAGGCCUUAGGGUUGUAAAGCUCUUUCAGUAGGGAAGAUA